Molecule: small RNA, 76 nt
Filed under: Xanthomonas campestris pv. badrii
Lineage: Bacteria; Pseudomonadati; Pseudomonadota; Gammaproteobacteria; Lysobacterales; Lysobacteraceae
Description: sX9 sRNA
Rfam family: Xanthomonas sRNA sX9
Source: RNAcentral
AUGUACCACUCGUACACUCCGGUUCCUGCGCGCCGCCCACACCCACCUGACGACUGCUCGCCACGUUUUGUUAGCC